This 135-nucleotide unclassified non-coding RNA is filed under the name uncultured Neonectria. RNAcentral describes it as "sequence contains ITS1". The record is from RNAcentral. Lineage: Eukaryota; Fungi; Ascomycota; Sordariomycetes; Hypocreales; Nectriaceae.
CCGAGUUUACAACUCCCAAACCCCUGUGAACAUACCUAUUGUUGCCUCGGCGGUGCCUGUUCCGACAGCCCGCCAGAGGACCCCAAACCCUGAUUACAUUAAAGAAUUCUUCUGAGUAACCGAUUAAAUAAAUCA